CUAAUUUCCCACCUUACUUAACAUUCUUUUGGAAAAACUGAAACCAAACCGCAAACCCAGAUCUCUCCCUUCAUCUCUCAUUCCUCUUCUUCUCUUCAUCCCCACUCAUUGAUGAAAAGGCCGAUGCCAAUAAUCCGGUCAUCAGGUGAGCCCAUCAUCGGAGCCAAUAAUCAGACAAGUCGCUGGUCACUCUGGUCUCUGUGGCUUCUAGCGAAGGAAGGCGAGAAGAGUUCCACACCGAAACGAUGACGGAUGAGGCGUCGGGGAAUCUGGAGUACGAUUUCUAUUGGAACCCAACAAAGUGAAGUUUAUUUGAAGAGGGAGGUGAUUGGGAAAGGAAGAAUCGAUUGAAGGUAUAUGAAGGCUUGUACUGCAUGUCCACUCGAAAUUUUAAGAAGGCAGCCGAUUUGUUCCUGGAUUCCAUUUCUACCUUCACCACUUACACAAUAUUUCCCUAUGACAUCUUAAUAUUUUAUACCGUCCUGACAAGCAUUAUAUCUUUGGACAGAGUUUCUUUAAAACAGAAGCUUGAUUCUUUGGAGCGUAUAUAUGCUUUCCAUUUGCUGUAGCUUGUCAACAAAAGGAGGUUGAAUCCAUGGGACCAAUUGCAGAGCGUUGGAGAAUCAGAAGUAAAAGUGUGUUACAUAUAUUGAGAUAUGGAGGCCCUUGGUUGAAGAGAAGAGCUGGGUUAGGCAUGGGUAUGGUUGCAGUCUAUAAUCCAAGUCUCCAUUAUCUCAUUGAAUCUCAUGGUUUUAUUGAAGAGGAUGCAAAAUCUUAUACAAUUUCUUUGCUUCUUUAAUGUAAAGCAUUUCAUUGUAAAUGUUUGAAGUAUGUUUAUUGUAGAGAAAUAAAAGUAUUAUUAUUUUCAGGUUGCAAAUUAAUUAGCAGAAAUAAU
Long non-coding RNA from Rosa chinensis, 895 nucleotides. RefSeq lists it as uncharacterized. Lineage: Eukaryota; Viridiplantae; Streptophyta; Magnoliopsida; Rosales; Rosaceae. The transcript is spliced from 4 exons. The record is from RefSeq and is a predicted model, not a curated record.